ACCUACAGCUUCAAGCGACGUAGAUGGCUCCCUUGUUGAUUUCCAUCUCCAAACUUUCAUCAUCAACCAAACGCAGCUCAUGGUAUGUGCGAAGCUUAGGACGAACGAGAUCGAAACCGGUUCGUGCUUGAAUAGAAAAAUCAUACGCAGAGUUGAAGAACACGAAACGAAGCAGAGAAGAGAGACUAACCACAACGGUGAUGCGGCACACACAUGUACGAAAUCUCGUCCUUCUUGGCUCGACCUUAUUCUUCUUCCUUUUGAGAAUUCCUGUUGUUGCUGUGUUUUUGGCUUGUUGCUUCGAGUGAGAUGUAAUGGAUAUAGAAACCUUGUUGUGUGCGUGUGAUGCAUAGAAUGGAGAUUGUGCAGAAGAUUGUAGAAGAUUAUGAAUUGGAUGCAGAGUGAAACUUGAAGUUGCAGAGUGAAGAUCUCGAUCCUUAGAGGUUUUAAGGGAAGGACUCUACUUGUUGAAGAACACAUGGUUUGUUGUGCACAUACAGGUGCGUGUGUGCUUUGGAUUUUUCUCAUGGCCAUGUGUUUUACUUGGACAGAAAAUUGAAAAUGUAUGCUCUACUUUGUGUGAGUCCUGACUUUGUAUGGUAUGUGCAUCUUGCUGGUCCAUAAAAUUGCUUCUAAGUGAAGGACAGAGUUUACAACAAAAUAUGCCAUUAUGCAGGUCACACAGUCUGAACAGGGCAUGUUGUUGGUCACUUGGUUUGCUUGUAUCAUUUUCAAGGUGUUCAAUUUCUUGAGCUUAUUUGCGUGUGUUCAAUUGCUUGUAAAAUUGCAAUGAGAUGUGAUGAAAGCUCAUGAAGUUUUAUUUUGGUGUAAGUGAAUGGUGUAUGAACUCAUUGAUUGAAUGAAGAGGCUUGUAUGAAUGUAAUGAAAAGUUUGAAAAGUUCGGUUAUGAAUUGAAUUCUUAUUGUUUU
Lathyrus oleraceus (garden pea) is the source of this 929-nucleotide long non-coding RNA. RefSeq lists it as uncharacterized. The transcript has 2 exons. The record is from RefSeq and is a predicted model, not a curated record. Lineage: Eukaryota; Viridiplantae; Streptophyta; Magnoliopsida; Fabales; Fabaceae.